This 361-nucleotide ribosomal RNA is filed under the name uncultured bacterium. Its description in RNAcentral is "bacterial SSU rRNA". It matches the Rfam family "Bacterial small subunit ribosomal RNA", at positions 29 to 414 of the family's 1533-position model. The record is from RNAcentral.
AGCGAACGCUGGCGGCAGGCUUAACACAUGCAAGUCGAGCGGGCGUAGCAAUACGUCAGCGGCAGACGGGUGAGUAACGCGUGGGAACGUACCUUUUGGUUCGGAACAACACAGGGAAACUUGUGCUAAUACCGGAUAAGCCCUUACGGGGAAAGAUUUAUCGCCGAAAGAUCGGCCCGCGUCUGAUUAGCUAGUUGGUGAGGUAAUGGCUCACCAAGGCGACGAUCAGUAGCNGGUCUGAGAGGAUGAUCAGCCACAUUGGGACUGAGACACGGCCCAAACUCCUACGGGAGGCAGCAGUGGGGAAUAUUGGACAAUGGGCGGCAAGCCUGAUCCAGCCAUGCCGCGUGAGUGAUGAAGG